RNAcentral lists this ribosomal RNA (269 nucleotides) under uncultured prokaryote. RNAcentral describes it as "partial 16S ribosomal RNA". It matches the Rfam family "Bacterial small subunit ribosomal RNA", at positions 524 to 792 of the family's 1533-position model. The record is from RNAcentral.
UACGGAGGGAGCAAGCGUUGUCCGGAUUUACUGGGCGUAAAGCGCGCGUAGGCUGUCCAUUAAGUCGGCUGUGAAAGCGCUGGGCUCAACUCAGCAAAGUCAGUCGAUACUGAUGGACUCGAGUCCGGGAGAGGGAAGUGGAAUUGCUGGUGUAGCGGUGGAAUGCGUAGAUAUCAGCAAGAACACCGGUGGCGAAGGCGGCUUCCUGGACCGGUACUGACGCUGAGGCGCGAAAGCCAGGGGAGCGAACGGGAUUAGAUACCCCCGUA